This 540-nucleotide ribosomal RNA is filed under the name uncultured bacterium. Its description in RNAcentral is "bacterial SSU rRNA". It matches the Rfam family "Bacterial small subunit ribosomal RNA", at positions 28 to 660 of the family's 1533-position model. The record is from RNAcentral.
GAUGAACGCUAGCUACAGGCUUAACACAUGCAAGUCGAGGGACCGGCGCACGGGUGAGUAACACGUAUCCAACCUGCCCUUUACUCGGGGAUAGCCUUUCGAAAGAAAGAUUAAUACCCGAUGUAAAGGAUGGGGAUGCGUUCCAUUAGGUUGUUGGUGAGGUCACGGCUCACCAAGCCUUCGAUGGAUAGGGGUUCUGAGAGGAAGGUCCCCCACAUUGGAACUGAGACACGGUCCAAACUCAUACGGGAGGCAGCAGUGAGGAAUAUUGGUCAAUGGGCGCUAGCCUGAACCAGCCAAGUAGCGUGAAGGAUGAAGGCUUAUGGGUCGUAAACUUCUUUUAUAUAAGAAUAUGUAUUAUAUGAAUAAGGAUCGGCUAACUCCGUGCCAGCAGCCGCGGUAAUACGGAGGAUCCGAGCGUUAUCCGGAUUUAUUGGGUUUAAAGGGAGCGUAGGUGGACUGGUAAGUCAGUUGUGAAGGUUUGCGGCUCAACCGUAAAAUUGCAGUUGAUACUGUCAGUCUUGAGUACAGUAGAGGUGG